AGUGAACGCUGGCGGCAGGCCUAACACAUGCAAGUCGAGCGGCAGCGCGGGGGCAACCCUGGCGGCGAGCGGCGGACGGGUGAGGAAUUCGUCGGAAUCUGCCUUUUUGUGGGGGAUAACGUAGGGAAACUUACGCUAAUAUCGCAUACGUCCUACGGGAGAAAGUGGGGGACCGCAAGGCCUCACGCAGAAAGAUGAGCCGACGACCGAUUAGCUAGUUGGUGGGGUAAAGGCCCACCAAGGCGACGAUCGGUAGCUGGUCUGAGAGGAUGAUCAGCCACACUGGGACUGAGACACGGCCCAGACUCCUACGGGAGGCAGCAGUGGGGAAUAUUGGACAAUGGGCGCAAGCCUGAUCCAGCCAUGCCGCGUGUGUGAAGAAGGCCUUCGGGUUGUAAAGCACUUUUGUCCGGAAAGAAAUCCCUGGAGCUAAUACCUUCGGGGGAUGACGGUACCGGAAGAAUAAGCACCGGCUAACUUCGUG
Molecule: ribosomal RNA, 484 nt
Filed under: uncultured bacterium
Lineage: Bacteria
Description: partial 16S ribosomal RNA
Rfam family: Bacterial small subunit ribosomal RNA
Source: RNAcentral